CACGUAGGGUGCGAGCGUUGUCCGAAAUUAUUGGGCGUAAAGAGCUCGUAGGCGGUGUGUCACGUCGGCCGUGAAAACCUGCAGCUUAACUGUGGGCGUGCGGUCGAUACGGGCAUCACUGGAGUUCGGCAGGGGAGACUGGAAUUCCUGGUGUAGCGGUGAAAUGCGCAGAUAUCAGGAGGAACACCGGUGGCGAAGGCGGGUCUCUGGGCCGAUACUGACGCUGAGGAGCGAAAGCGUGGGGAGCAAACAGG
RNAcentral lists this ribosomal RNA (254 nucleotides) under uncultured bacterium. Its description in RNAcentral is "partial 16S ribosomal RNA". It matches the Rfam family "Bacterial small subunit ribosomal RNA", at positions 524 to 776 of the family's 1533-position model. The record is from RNAcentral.